Callithrix jacchus (white-tufted-ear marmoset) is the source of this 11601-nucleotide RNA transcript. It is a transcript of the gene named interferon-related developmental regulator 2 pseudogene, with no coding region annotated. Lineage: Eukaryota; Metazoa; Chordata; Mammalia; Primates; Cebidae. The record is from RefSeq and is a predicted model, not a curated record.
GAUGUGGGGUUUCACCACGUUGGCCAGACUGAUCUUGAACUUCUGACCACAGGUGAUCCGCCCGACUUGGCCUCCCAGAGUGCUGGGAUUACAGGGGCGAACCACCAUGUCUGGCCAAUGCGUUUCAGUUAGAGAACAAAGAGGAUUCAUUUUUUUCCUUACAAAUUGAUGCGAAUGACCUGCUGCUGCAGGCUUCAUCUUCAACAUCAUCUUGUCCCUUCUUACAAGUUUUUCAUAUGUAAACUGCUGAUUUAUUUAGGGGCAUUGUCCCCAUAAACAUUUGGUAAAGCAUCAGUGAUUUUACCAUUCUUCCACCCAAACAUCACCUUAAUGUUUGUUCUUCCUUCAGUUUUAGCAGAAUUCAGUUUGCUCUGAUACUGGCUUUUUUAAAAAGUGAUGAUUUCUCCUUUUUCAUACCUCAGACUGGAUCCUGUUGAUGUAUUUUUUAACGAGUUAGUAACAGUUUCUUUUGGUACCAAAAGAUUUUGCAAUCUAUGCAUAGUUUCUUGAUAAUAACUUUUUGAAGACUUCUCAUAUGGUUGUUGAUACGAUUGGGCUCUGUGCCCCCACCCACAUCUCAUUUUGAAUUGUAAUCCUCAUUUGUCAAGGGAGGAACUUGGUGGGAGGUGAUUUGAUUAUGGAGGCAGUUUCCCACAUGCUGAUUUCAUGAUAGUGAAAGAGUCUCAGAUCUGAUCGUUUUAUACAAGGCAGUUUUUUCCUAUGCUCACACUUGACCUCUGGUCUGCUGCCAUGUAAGAUGUGCCUGCUUCCCCUUCUGCCAUGAUUGUAAAUUUCCUGAGGCUUCCCAAGCCAUGUGGAAUUGUGAGUGAAUUAGACCUCUUCCCUUUCUAUAUUAUGUAGUCUCAGGUAUUUCUUUCUACCGGUGUGAAACUCACUAAUACAGCUCUGAAAGAAAUGGAGAUACACAGAUUAAUGGUUUUAAUGAAGCAUCAUUUUAAAUAUGAGAACGUAAGUUUAGAAGCCAAAAGGAAAGCUCUAGAUGGAUGAAUAUCCAAGAGAAAGGACAAGUAAUAGUGUAGGCUUCCUGUAAAAGGCAGGUGAAAAUGGAAGCCAAAGUAGAGGUUAGAGGAGAAACAAUGUUCCUGAAUGACCAAGCAUGAGUUGAUACCGCUUGCCUCUUUGUCUAGCCUGUCGCCAGCCAUCUCAAGGCUGUCUAUGUCAGCAUCUCCCUCUUUUCUUCUACUUGCCUUGCCUGUCCAGCUCUGGGUAAACUGCACUUCCCCACCCCACCCUCUUAAAUUUCUUCCACUGGCUCAUUCAUUUAGCAAACAUGUACCGAUCCUUGACUGUGUGUCCAGCCCUGGAGGUCAGGGAUUCAAAUAAGUCCCUGUGCCUGUGGAACUCAUGUUUCAGUGUUGGCAAGAGACAAGUAGCAGUAGUCAGAUCAUGAUGCACGAUGUCAGAAGGGUCGUAGUAGCACGGGGUGGAGUGGGAGCCUCCUGCCCCUAAGCUGCAAGUGUUGCUGGAGAAAAUCCCUCAACCAGAUCAACUGGCAAAACCACAGGAGCGCCCUCCCUCCUGCUAAGCGAUUUUUAAAACCCAUCUUAAAUUGAUAUCCUUUCCCAGCGCCACCUUUCUUCUUCUAAUUUUCCACCUUGCUCUCAUUUCUUAUGUUGCAGACAAGGGGGGUAAGGACCACUUCCUCAUAAGGCAUAAUUUCAUGUCCUUGAUAACUAUGGGCCAGGCACAGUGGCUCAUGCCUGUAAUUCCAGCACUUUGGGAGGCCAAGGCGGGUGGAUCACUUGAGGUCAGCAGUUGGAGACAAAUCUGGCCUACAUGGUGAAACCCCGUCUCUACUAAAAUACAAAAAUUAGCCGGGCAUGUUGGGGUGCACCUGUAGUUCCAGUACUCGGCAGACUGAGGCAGGAGAAUUGCCUGAAUUUGAGAGGCAGAGGUUGCAGUGAGCUGAGACUGCAAACUGCACUCUAGCCUGGGCAACAAGAGCAAAAUUUUGUCUCAAGAAAAAAAAAAAAAAAAAAGAAUGAGCCAAGCGUGAUGCCUCAUGCAGGUAAUCCUAGCAUUUGGGAGGCCAAGGCAGGAGGAUAGCUUAACUUCAGGAACUCAAGACCAUCCUGGAUAACAUAGGGAGACCGCAUCUCUAUUAAAAAAUUUAAAACGUAGCCCAGUAUGGUGGAGCGUGUCUGCAAUCCCAGCUGCUAGGGCACUGAGGUGGGAGGAUCGCUUGAGUCUGGAAUUAUUGAGGCUGCAGUGAGCUGCAAUCUUGCCACUAGCACUUCAGCCUGGAUGAUACAAUGAGACCAUGCCUCCAAAAAAUAGGAAGUGAUAGCAGGCUUAUAAAAUAAUGAUUACUAAAUGGUUGCUUUUCUUUGGAGAUGGAAAGAGGAAGUGGUCAAGUUGUCAUUUACCAUGCCUUCAAUGACUGGGCUUUAGUGUAUAUUAAUAUAUGUUAUGACCUGAAAAUCCCAAGUAAAAGUUUGGUGACAUUGUUGUAAAAGUAACAUAUUCUGUUGUACUUCAGGACCAUCCAGGGACGCAGCGUUCCCACCCAGGAGCUCGAAACCGAGGUCGAUUCCGGUGCCCUGAUGACAAGUCUGAAGAUUCAGCAGUAAAAAGAAAGCAGGAAAGUGGUAUUACCCAUAGAAAGGGAGAGGAUGGGUGUGAUAGCUCACACCCGUAAUCACAGCACUUUGGGAGGCCGAGGAUUAUCCAGAGAUGCAACGUUACCAACAAGGAGCUCGAAGCCAAGGUCGACUCUGGUACCCUGAAGACAGCACCAAGUCUGGAGAUUCAGCACUAGAAAGAAAGCAGGAAAGUGGUAUUAGCCAUACAAAAGAAGAGGAGAGGCCGGGUGUGGUGGCUCAUGCCUGUAAUCCCAGCACCUUGGGAGGCCAAGGUGAAUGGAUCACCUGAGGUCAGGAGUUUGAGACCAGCCUGGCCAACAUGGUGAAACCCUGUCUCUACUAAAAAUACAAAAUUUAGCUGGGCGUGGUGGCAGGCACCUGUAGUCUCAGAUACUUGGGAGGCUAAGGCAGGAGAAUUGCUUGAACUCAGGAGGCAGAGGUUCCAGUGAGCCAUGAUCUUGCCAGGCAGAGGUUCCAGUGAGCCAUCAUCUUGCCACUGCACUCCAGCCUGGGCAACAGAGCAAGACUCUGUCUCCAAAAAAAAAAAAAAAAAGAGAGAGAGAGAGAGAAGAGGAGAGGAGUAUAUACCAGAGGAGUAAGUUUUGCCUCAAAGCAGGAAUCUGAUCAGAUGUCAGAAUUGAAAUUAUAAUCUCAUUGUUUUUGCAAUUUUUAUAAAUUAACUUUAAAGUGUCAGAAAAAGGUAAUGGUGAGGACAUGCAUUGCAAUUUGCAGGGAGUUCAUUACCUGUGACACGAGAGAAAAGUAAGACCUGUUUCUAAAAUCAAAAGCUGCUGUUCAUCCUGAAUUGAAUUUCUGAAUUUUGGUGGAGCAGAGUCGCUUUGAAGCCUUGUUCCCCUCUAGUUAUACUGAAUUGCUGAUGAUAACUGUUGACUCUGGGUAGUGUAGAAGUCACAAGCGUGUCCUUGUAGCACAAGUACAGGGAAGGAUAGAACAAACUUUCAUUGAUGCAAACAUUUAAAUAGUCAUGUUACUUCUGUAUCCAAUGUCCUAAAGUUUUGGGAUUAGUUUUAGUUUUUUAUUUGCUUUUAUGAGCUUAGCAUGAGGAAUAUUUGUAAACAUCUCAUUUUGUCUUCCUUCAGCAUUUUUUCUAUCAAGAGGUAAGAUGUAGUCCUUGUUGGAUUCUUGACAAUCUAGGUUGUUUUAUCUCAGGUCUCGUGAUCUGAGCACAUACCCUCUCCAGGAGGGAAACUGAACCAAUGUCUGUUGUUGUUAGAUGGCAACUUUUAGUCUCAGCUUGUUUUGUUGUGAUGUUGAUAAAUAGUAACAGCAUCCAAGUAUGAAGCUAAGUGUGGUAAGUCACUUUACUAAAUAGCUGUGAGUUUUGAGAAAUUAAUUUUUUGAUACUGAAUUAACCUCUUAGAAGUAUUGACAGGGGAUGAAUGAUGUUAGUUUCUUCCUUCACUAGCAUGGCUUUGUCCACCAGGGAAUGAUCAGUUCACGGUUCACUCCUAUAUUAGGCCAUUCUUGCAUUGCUGUAAGGAAAUACCUGAGACUGGGUAGUUGAUAAGAAAAGAGGUUUGGCCAGGCGCAGUGGCUCAUGCCUGUUAUCCUAGCACUUUGGGAGGCCGAGGUGGGAGAAUCAGUUGAUGUCAGGAGUUCGAGACCAGCCUGGCCAACAUGGUGAAACCUGUCUCUACUAAAAAUACAAAAAAAUUAGCCAGGCAUGGUGGCACAUGCCUGUAAUCCCAGCUACUCGGAAGGCCGAGGGAGGAGAAUCCCUCGAACCCAGGAGGCAGAGUUUGCGGUGAGCCAAGAUUACACCACUGCACUCCAACCUGGGAGACAGAGAGAGACUCUGUCUCAAAAAAAAAAAAAAAAAAAAAAGAGGGCCGGGUGCAGUGGCUCAUGUCUGGAAUCCCAGCACUUUGGGAGGCUGAGGUGGGUGGAUCACGAGGUCAACAGAUCGAGACCAUCCUGGUCAACAUGGUGAAACCCUGUCUCUACUAAAAAUACAAAAAAUUAGCUGGGCAUGGUGGCACGUGCCUGUAGUCCCAGCUACUCAGGAGGCUGAGGGAGGAGAAUUGCCUGAAUCCAGGAGGUGGAGGUUGCGGUGAGCUGAGAUUGUGCCAUUGCACUCCAGCCUGGGUAACAGGAGCGAAACUCCGUCUCAAAAAAAAAAAAGAAAAAAGAAAAAAAAAAGAGAUUUAUUUGGCUCACAGUUCUGCAGGCUGUACAAGCGAGGCAUCUCAGAUUGCUCAGCUUCUGGGAGGCCUCAGAGAGCUUUUACUCAUGGCAGAAGGUGAAGCAAGGGUAGGCAUUUCACAUCACAGAGUGAGCAAGAGAGUGAGUGUGGGGAGGAGGUGCCACACUUCACAACAACCAGAUCUGUAAGAACUCACUAUGGAGAGGACAGCACUAAGCCAUGAGGGAUCCGCCCCAUAACCCAAACACCCCACCAGGCCCCACCUCCAACACUGGGCAUUAUAUUUCCAUGAGAUUUGGGUGGGGACAAAUAUCCAUACUACGUCAACUGUUCUGGUCUCAUAAAAACAAAAUGUUUAGACAACAUCCUCGAGCUUUUGCCUGAUUUUCAUUCAUCCUGCCAGCCCUUCCUAACAUGGCAUGUUUGCCUUUACUUACUUAAUCACCACUUUAUGUUUGCCCAGCUUUUAGAAACAGGUAGCCCAAGAGACAGGUACAAGAGCCACCAAAAAUUAUUGAAAGUGAAUGAUUCUUAACUGAGCGAGAAUCCUAAGGGAAGGGAAAAUUUCAAGAAGGACAACCCAUGCCACAGAAAGGUUAAGGAAGAGAAGAAACGAAAGUGUUCAUUGGAUUUGGCAAUUGUGAUUUCAUUAGUGAACUAAUGAAACUGAUGACCUAAAGGUGACAGAAACCCUGUUUUGUGAAUGGCAGGUGGGAAGUGGAUGUAAGGAUUUGGAAUUCAUCUGUUUUUAGGUGGCCAUUGAAGUCAUGGCCGUGGAUUCUGUCACUUUAGGGGCAGAGAAAAAGAAGAGAAGCAGAUCUAGGGCCGUGCCUCGAAAAACUAACAUUACACAGAGGUAAGGAAAUGUAUCUACAAAGACAGAGAAGGAGUAGCCAGAGAGUAGGAGAAAAACCAGAGGACUCUGGGUUACUUAAUUCAAGAGAAAAGUGUUUCAAGGAAGCGGCAUCGUCAGCAGGGUUGGAUGCUGCUGAAUGGUCAAGCAUGAUACUUGACAAAGGCCAUAGCAUUCAGUGACUUACAGAUCAUUGAUGACCUAGAGUUAUGGCGCAGGGAAGCCAGAUUGGGUUGAGAAAGGAAACAAUGUAUACAACUUUUUAAAGAAGUACCAGGGAACUUCAAAAGUCUGUGGAUCCUUAAUUCUACUCUGAGGCCUCCUUCACAUUCUCCUGAACGUAUAAAUGUGUAAUUGUCAGAAAGAAUCAUGGCUUACAAUGAAUUCCUAGAUAGAUUUUUUUUUUUUUUGGAGAGGGAGUCUUGCUCUGUCGCCGAGACUGGAAUGCAGUGGUGCCAUCUCGGUUCACUGCAACAUUUACCUCCCGAAUUAAGGAAAUUGUCCUGCUUCCACCUCCCAAGUAGCCUGGCACCACGCAUGGCUAAUUUUGUAUUUUUAGUAGAGACAGCGUUUCACCGUGUUGGCCAGGCUGGUAUCCAACUCCUGACCUCACGUGAUAUGCACACCUAAACCUCCCAAUGGGUUGGGAAUACAGGCGUGAGCCACUCUGUCCAGCCUGGAUUUUUUUUUUCUUUUGAGGUAAGGUCUCUGUUUGUCACCACCGCUGGAUUGCAACGACACAAUCACAGCUCACUGAAUCCUUGACCUUCUGGGUUCAGUUGAUCCUCCCACAUCAGCCUCCUGAGUAGCUGGGAUUAUAGUCAUGGGCCACCAUGCCCAGCUAAAUUUUAUAUUUUUUGUUGAAACAGGGUUUUGCCAUGUUGCCCAGGCUGGUCUCAAACUCUUGGGCUCAAGCAUUCUGCCCACCUUAGCCUCCCAAAGUGCUGGGAUUAUAGGUGUGAGCCACUGUGUCCAGCAUUAUGGGUUUUUAAAAGAACAGAGGCCAGGUGCAGUGGCUGACUCCUGUAAUCCUAGCACUUUGGGAGGCCGAAGCAGGUGGACCACCUGAGGUCAGGAGUUCAAAACCAGCCUGGCCAACAUGGCAAAACCCCAUCUCUACUAAAAAAUAGAAAAAAAAAAAUUAGCCACGUGUGGUGGUGCACACCUUUAGUACAAACUACUCAGGAGACUCAGGCAGGAGAAUCGCUUGAACCCAGGAGGCAGAGGUUGCAGCGAGUGGAGAUCACGUCACUGUACUCCAGUCUGGGUGACAGAGAGCCAGAUUCUGUCUCAAAAAAAAAAAAAAACUUGUGGGAAAUAGAAAUAAAAGAUAAAAAAUAUUAACUUCUUAUCAUAAGAUCCAUCAAGAUCAAGACACUUUGCUUACAACAAGUAAGCAAGGAUACUAGCCAUUUGUUUAUUUAUUUUUGUCUCUUGCUCAAAGCAAUUAGAUACUAGCCAUUUUAUCCAUCCCCAAAGAAUUGGAGGUCCUGGGAAUUUACAUCAGUGCCAUCUUUUUUACAUUAUUAACUGGAAGAAAAUGGUUCCACUUACAGCUAUUUUUAUCAUUAGGAAACCAAAAGAAGUCAGAAGGAGCUAAAUCCCAGCUGUAGGGUGGAUGCAUACUGGUUUCCCAUUGAAACUCAAAAUUUUCCCUGUUUGAUGAGAGGCAUGAGCAGAAGCUUUGCCAUGGUAGAAAAGGAUUCUCUGGUGAAGCUUUCCUGGGCAUUUUUUCUGCUAAAGCUUUGGCUUUUUCAAAACACUCUCACAUUAAGCAGAUUUUAUUAUUCUUCAGCCCUCCAGAAAGUCAACAAGCAAAAUUUCUUGAGCAGCUCCAAAAACUAUUGUGAUGACCUUUGCUCUUGGCCAGUCCACUUCUCUUUGAUUGGACCACUUCCACCUGUUCGGAGUCAUCACUUCGAUUGUGCUGUGUCUUCAGAGUCAUACUCCGAAAGCCACGUUUCACCUCCUGUUACACUUUCCCAAUAGAUGCUUCAUAAUCUAUUGGUUGGUGCAAAAGUAAUUGUGGUUUUUGACAUUCCUUUCAAUGGCAAAAACCGCAAUUAAUUUUGCAGCAACCUAAUAGAUCCCACUUGUUUAAAAUUUCCAUUGAAAGCUCUGCUCUCGUCUGCAGCUGAUCUGGUUUUGGCACUCAUCAAGUGGAAAGUUUGCUCAGCUUUUAAUUUUUCAGUCAGAAUUGUGUAAGCUGAACCAAUUGCGAUGUCUAUGGUGUUGUUUUUGCUGUUAAUUUUUGGUCCUUCCAAAUUAGGGCACAAAGAAGAUUAAUUCUUUUCUCACAAAUUGAUGUGGAUAACCUGUUGCUGCAGGCUUCAUCUUCAGCAUUGUCUUGUCCUUUCUUACAAGUUAACUAUUUGUAAACUGCUGAUUUCUUUAGCUGCAUUGUCCCCAUAAACUUUUCAUAAAGCAGCAGUGAUUUUACCAUUCUUCCACGCAAGCAUCCCCCUAAAUGUGAUGUUUGUUGUUGUCCCUUCAAUUUUAGCAGAAUUCAUUUUGCUCUGAUUGGAGCUCUGUUCAAACUGAUUACCUCUCCUUUUUAAUGCCUCAAACUAGAUCCUGUAACUUGUUAGUACCCAGUUUAUUCUGGUGCAAAAAUAUUUUGUUUUUCAGAUGAAGUCUCACUCUGUCACCCAGCCAGGAGGGCUGUGGUGCCAUCUCAGCUCACUACAACCUCACCUCCUGAGUUCAAGUGAUUCUCCUGCCUCAGCCUCCUGAAUAGCUGGGAUUACAAAUAUGCACCACCGCGACUGGCUAAUUUUUGUCUUUUUUCGUAGAGAUGAGGUUUCACCAUAUUGGCCAGGCUGGUCUCAAACUCCUGACCUCAAGUGAUCUACCUGUCUCAGCCUCCCAAAAUGCUGGGAUUACAGGUGUGAGUCACCACGCCCAGUCCUUAAAAGGUUUUGCAAUCCAUGCGUAGUUUCUUAAUAAUACAUAUUUCCCAUGGACUUUUUGAAGACUUCUCAUAUGGCUAUUUAUAUGGUUGGGCUCUCUGUGUCCCCACCCAAAUCUCACCUUGAAUUGUAAUCCUCAUGUAUCAAAGGAGGAACUUGGUAGGAGAUGAUUGGAUUAGGAGAGCGGUUUCUCUCUUUCUGUUCUCCUGAUAGUAAGUCACAGGAGAUCUGAUGGUCUUAAAAGUGGCAGUUUUUCCUGUGCUCGCAAUUUGCCUCGCCUGUUAAAAUGUAAGACAUGCCAGCUUCACCUUCUGCCAUAGUAGUCAAUUUCCUGAGGCCUCCUGAGCCAUUUGAAACUGUGAGUCAAUUAAACCUCUUCUCUUUAGAUAUUACCCAGUCUCAGGUAUUUCUAUCAGUGUGAAAACAGACUAAUACAGCUGUGAAAGAAAUGGAGAUACAUAGGUUAAUAGUGUUAAUGAAGCAGUAUUUUAAAUAUAAAAAAGUAAGUUUAGAAGCCAAAAGGAAAUCUCUAGAAGGAUGACCACCUAAGAGAAAAAGACAACUAAUAGUGUAGGCUUCCUGCAAAGGUAGAUGAAAAUGGAACCCAGGGUAGAGGUUAGAGGAGUCGGCCUUAGGAGAAGCAACGCUCAUGAACCACCAGGCGUGAGUUGAUACCGCUUGCCUCUUUGUCUAGCCUGUCGCCAGCCACCUCAAGGCUGUCUAUGUCAGCCUCUCCCUCUUUUGGUCUACUUGCCUUGCCUGUCCAGCUCUGGGUAAACUGCACUUCCGCACUCCAUCCUCUUAAAUUUCUUCCACUGGCUCAUUCAUUUAGCAAACAUGUACCAAUCACUGACUGUGUGUCCAGCCCUGGAGGUCAGGGAUUCAAAUAAAUCCUUGUGCCUGUGGAACUCAUGUUUCAGUGUUGGCAAGAGACAAGUAGCAGUAGUCAGAUCAUGAUGCACGAUGUCAGAAGGGUCGUAGUAGCACGGGGUGGAGUGGGAGCCUCCUGCCCCUAAGCUGCAAGUGUUGCUGGAGAAAAUCCCUCAACCAGAUCAACUGGCAAAACCACAGGAGCGCCCUCCCUCCUGCUAAGCGAUUUUUAAAACCCAUCUUAAAUUGAUAUCCUUUCCCAGCACCGCCUUUCUUCUACUUUGCUCCCUUGCUCUCAUUUCUUAUGUUGCAGGCAAGGGGGGUAAGGACCACUUCCUCAUAAAGCGUAAUUUCAUGUCCUUGAUAACUAUAGACCAGGCACAGUGGCUUAUACCUAUAACCCCAGCACUUGGAGAGGCUGAGGCAAGCAGAUCACUUGAGGUCAGCAGUUGGAGACGAGCCAGGCCUACAUGGCAUAACCCCGUCUCUUAGCAUUCCGGAGGCCAUGGCAGGAGGAUCACUUAACUUCAGGAGUUCAAGACCAGACUGGAUAACAUAGGGAGACCCCAUCUCUACUAAAAAUUUUAAAACUUAGGCCAGUGUGAGAGAGUACCUGCAAUCCCAGCUACUAGAGAGCUGAGAUGGGAUGAUUGCUUGAGUCUGGAAUGUCGAGGCUGCAGUGAGCUGCGAUCAUGCCACUUCUGCUUUAGCCUGGGUAACACCAUGAGACCAUGUCUCCAGACAAAAAAGAAAUUGACCAGACUUAUAAAAUAAUAAUUGUGAAAUGAUUGCUUUUCUUUGGAGAUGGAGAGAAGCGGUGGGCAAGCUGUCAUUUACCAUACCCUCACUUUGGUUUUUAAAGACUUCGGUGUAGUAUAUAUUAAUACAUAACUUAGGACUUAGAAAAUCCUAUGUAAAUGCUGAGUAGCAUUGUUUGUAACAGUAACAUAUUUCGUUGUACUUCAGGAUCCUCUGGGGAUGCAGGUUAGCCAUCCAGGAGCUCAAAGCCUAGGUUGACGCUUGAGCCCUGAUGGCAGCACCUAGUCUGGAGAUUCAGCAGUAGAAAGAAAGCAGGAAAGUGAUAUUAACCAAAGAAAAGAAGGAGGAAGAGAGUGAUAAGUCCAGAUGGCCUUAGGUGUCCUGACUGUCAAGGUAGCCAAAGAGCACACUUAAGCAAUCCAGAAGUGCCUUCAGGGCAAAGAAUAGAGAGAAAGGGGGGUAGAUGUACUGGUGGGUUACACUGCAGAGGAGUAAGUUUUGCAUCAAAGCAGGAAUUGGAUUGGUGGUUCAGAAUUGGAAGUACAAUUUCAUUGUUUUUGUAAUUUCCACAAAUUAAUUUUAAAGUGUCAGAAAAAGGUGAAGGUGAGGACAUGCACUGCAAUUUGCAGGGGGGAAUAUCAGAUGAGGACUUAAUCACGUGUGACACGAGAGAAAAGUAAGAGCUGGUUCUAAAUCAAAAGCUGUUGUUUGUCCUGAAUUGAAUUUUCUUUCUGGAUUUUUUUUUUUUUGAGACAGUGUCUCACUCUGUUGUCCACGCUGGAGUGCAGUGGUGCAAUGUCUGCUCACUGCAACCUCCACCUCCUGGGUUCAAGUGAUUCUCCUGCCUCAGCCUCCCGAGUAGCUGGGAUUACGGACAUUUUUAGUAGAGAAGGGGUUUUCACCAUGUUGGCCAUGCUGGUCUUGAACUCCUGACCUCAGGUGAUCCUCCCACCUUGGCCUUCCAAAGUGCUGGGAGUACAGGCAUGAGCCAUCACGCCUGUUUGUUCCAGUCUAGUUCUAUUUCAUUGUUGAUGAUAACUGUUGACUUUGUGUAGUGUAGAAGCAAGAAGCAUGUCCUUGUAGUAAGUACAGGGAAGGAUAGAACAACAAACUUUUGUUGAUGCAAAAAUUUAAAUAGUCAUGUUAUUUCUGCGUCUAAUGUUCUAAAGUUUUAGGAUUAGUUUUAGUUUUUUGUUUGCUUACGUGAGCUUAGCAUGAAGAAUAUUUUGAAACAUCUCGUUUUGUCUUCAGUUUUUUUUCUAUUAAUAGGUAAAAGUGUAGUAUUGGUUUGACUGUUGACGAUCUCAUGUGUGUUUGAUCUUAGGUCCCAUGAUGUGAGUGCAUACCCUCUCCAGGAAGGAAACUGCACCAUUGGCUGUUCCUGUUAAACAGCAACUUUUAGCCUCAGCUUGUACUGAUGAAAUAAAUAGUAACAACAUUCAA